Molecule: small RNA, 128 nt
Filed under: Mariniflexile litorale
Lineage: Bacteria; Pseudomonadati; Bacteroidota; Flavobacteriia; Flavobacteriales; Flavobacteriaceae
Description: 6S RNA
Rfam family: 6S-Flavo RNA
Source: RNAcentral
ACUCAACGUUAAUUCUUUAAAAAGGGUGAGUUUAAGUUGUAAAAGCAUGCUGCAUCUGCUGAAUUUAUUUCAGUACCUAGCAGAUCCUUGAUCAGCUUGUUAGCCCUAAACUUGUUUUUAAGGAGUUU